This 524-nucleotide ribosomal RNA is filed under the name uncultured bacterium. Its description in RNAcentral is "bacterial SSU rRNA". It matches the Rfam family "Bacterial small subunit ribosomal RNA", at positions 8 to 518 of the family's 1533-position model. The record is from RNAcentral.
AGUAGUUGAUCGUGCUACAGGACGACGCUGGCGGCGUGCCUAACACAUGCAAGUCGAGCGGGGACAUGCGACGGAGAUGAAGUUUCGGAUGGAGUUGAAGAUGUAUGUUCUAGCGGCGGACGGGUGAGUAACGCGUGAGCAACCUGUCCUUCACAGGGGGAUAACACAGCGAAAGUUGUACUAAUACCGCAUAAGACCACAGCAGGACAUCCUGCAGGGGUCAAAGGAGCAAUCCGGUGAAGGGUGGGCUCGCGUCCGAUUAGAUAGUUGGUGAGGUAACGGCCCACCAAGUCAACGAUCGGUAGCCGACCUGAGAGGGUGAUCGGCCACAUUGGGACUGAGACACGGCCCAAACUCCUACGGGAGGCAGCAGUGGGGAAUAUUGGGCAAUGGGGGGAAACCCCCUGACCCAGCAACGCCGCGUGAGGGAAGAAGGUUUUCGGAUCGUAAACCUCUGUCCUAUGUGAAGAGUAAGAGACGGUAGCAUAGGAGGAAGCCCCGGCUAACUACGUGCCAGCCGCCGC